AGAGUUUGAUUCUGGCUCAGGAUGAACGCUGGCGGCGUGCCUAACACAUGCAAGUCGAACGGGGUUGACUUACGGAAGUUUUCGGAUGGAAGUGAGUCAACUUAGUGGCGGACGGGUGAGUAACGCGUGGGCAACCUGCCCCAUGCCGGGGGAUACCGCCUGGAAACAGGCGCUAAUACCGCAUAAGCGCAUACAGCCGCAUGGCAGUAUGCGGAAAGCUCCGGCGGCAUGGGAUGGGCCCGCGCCCGAUUAGCCAGUUGGCGGGGUAACGGCCCACCAAAGCGACGAUCGGUAGCCGGCCUGAGAGGGCGGACGGCCACAUUGGGACUGAGACACGGCCCAAACUCCUACGGGAGGCAGCAGUGGGGAACACUGCACAAUGGGGGAAACCCUGAUGCAGCAACGCCGCGUGGGUGAAGGAGCGUUUCGGCGCGUAAAGCCCUGUCAUCGGGGAAGAAGAAAGACGGUACCCGACCAAGAAGCCCCGGCUAAC
Molecule: ribosomal RNA, 493 nt
Filed under: uncultured bacterium
Lineage: Bacteria
Description: bacterial SSU rRNA
Rfam family: Bacterial small subunit ribosomal RNA
Source: RNAcentral